Long non-coding RNA from Episyrphus balteatus (marmalade hoverfly), 1185 nucleotides. RefSeq lists it as uncharacterized. The record is from RefSeq and is a predicted model, not a curated record. The transcript is spliced from 3 exons. NCBI's taxonomy places the organism in Eukaryota, Metazoa, Arthropoda, Insecta, Diptera, Syrphidae.
UACACAAUUCACUGCAGUUGUUUUGAAAAAGAACCAAUUAUUUUUAGCCAAUUAAUCCACCAUUAAUUUAAGUUAACCUUUUCAAAGUGCAGUUGCAGUCGUUAUCUUGGACAAGCACCAGCAACAGCAGCAGGCGAAUAAAGAUUGGGCCAUGACUACACAGUGUUGUUCCAAUUUUACAUUUUCAUUGCCAACAACCUCACAGGUUAGGUUAUCGGAAAAUCACUAUUCAGCGAAGCACUUGCGCUAUUGCAGAGUAGCAAUGCUAUAGCUCUAGACCCGGCGAUGAUCUUGGCGCAUGCAACGACAACAAAUGAUAUAAAAACUGCUUUCGGUUACCAGAAUAAACAGCAAUCGCAUGUUGUUCCACUUGAACCAGGAGUUCCAGGAAAGAAUCUCGUCCAAGAUAGACUGAAAAUUAAAAUCAUUAAAAAUAUCUAUGUGUAACAAAAAUAACAAUUCCCAUUCAAACGGUGGCGAAGGAAGUGGGGGAGUCACAUUAGAUACGACACCAGCUUUGUCAUCUGUUGAGUCGGAUCAGCCAAUAAGUCCAUUGGCGAUCGUAUACAUUAAAUGUGCUAAAAAUUGAAACCCAAAUUAAUUUGCAGUAAUAAACAAUCAUUUUCAAUUUAUUCCGAAACUCGAUACUGAAACAUCAACCUUACAAUACUUAUGGUUAGACGGUGUUCGCAUCCGGAAUCAAAAUAUAAUGUUUCGGUGGCAUGGAAACACAUUUACUUUUGGUGUGCAUAGCAGAAUGUUCCAGUCGGCUUAGACGAAGCUGUUAAAUAACUGGCAAUGUUUUAAUUCGAGUUCGAAGGUCAAAAUUUUCUAGAAACGCUUGGAAGGGAGUGAAGCCGUUUGCAAUGUCAAUGAAGUCAAUCUGAUUGAAAAGUUAUUAAAAGGAUCAUCAUCUGACCUCUUAGAACUUAGAUGAUAGUCAAACGAUUAGAUUAAAUGGAAUCAAAAGUUAUAUUAAUAAUUAAUAAUAAUUAUAAGAAGAAACAAAUUGUAAAUAUAAUGACAGUAAAUUAAAUCAACGCAUCCCAAAAGCAUUUGAUCCUCCUCGCGGUUGUGUUGGAGCGUCACCUGCUAUUGCCUUUUAAACUCAUAUAAUAUCGCUUUAUACAAAUUUAUUGAAAUAAAAAUGUAUACACAUUUGUAUGUACAUACAAAAUAAUUUAA